Non-coding RNA from Pogona vitticeps (central bearded dragon), 3705 nucleotides. NCBI's taxonomy places the organism in Eukaryota, Metazoa, Chordata, Lepidosauria, Squamata, Agamidae. The record is from RefSeq and is a predicted model, not a curated record.
GAGAACCGUCUCCAUCCCGCCUUCCUAUCUCGUAUUGGCCUCGGGAUUGGCCCGUGGAUUUUUCGCGUUCCGAUUGGCUGGUCCACCCGGCCGCGAGGUUUGAAACAAUUUAGCAGGAAAACCAGGAGAAGAACCUGCAGGGUCGGUUGUGGCUGGACGAGGCUCGGAGGGCCGACCGGAACCGAGCAGCCCGGGGAAGAAAGGGCCGGUAAGAUCACAUGGCGACUUUGUCCCACAGACUUGAGUCCCCAGUAGGGCUGUUAUCAGAUGAAGAAGCAGUAGUCUCUCCUGUACUGGAAUCCACUCUGGCAGAAUGUGGAGCCGGUUUGCGCAGAGCUCUUCUGCCAGAUUUCUCGGCCAUCUCUGUGAACCAUGAACAAGCUGCUUCUGAUGACAAUGGGAAGCUGAAGGUGUAUGCAAGAGUGCGGCCCCUGAAGCCAUCGGAGGUGGAAAAGCAAGAGGAUCAAGGGUGUGUCUGUACUGAGAAUGCAGAGACUCUUCUUCUCAAAGCGCCCAAAGAUUCCUUCACCAUGAGAAACAAUGAACGAGGGAUCAGCCAGGCAGUGCACAAAUUUACCUUCACCCAGAUCUUUGGGCCAGAGGUGAACCAGAAGUCUUUCUUUGAAGCAACAAUGAAGGACAUAGUGAAGGAUGUGCUCAAUGGGCAGAAUUGGCUUGUUUACACCUAUGGAGUCACUAAUUCAGGGAAGACGUACACCAUCCAGGGUAGUGGUGCUGAUGCGGGCAUCCUGCCUCGUUCUCUGGCCACCAUAUUCAACAGCAUUGGGACACGGCUCUACCGGGCCACAGACUUGAAGCCCUUCCUCUCAAGUGAGGUAACCUGGUUGAACAGCAAGCAGGUUUGUCAGGAGGAGAUCAAGAAACAGGCUCUGAUUCGUGGAGGGAUGAAAGAGGAGGAGCUGUUUAAUUCUUUGAACAAGAGUCACAACACAGGAUCCCACCUCCAAGGAGCCACAAGUGGUAGUAUUGACAGUGGCAUUGCUGGGCUCUCUUCUACCUCCCACACGAGCAAUCAGACAAGCACCAGCCAGCUGGAGGAGACAACUCUACAUUGGUCUGACUUGGAUCAUGUUUCAAUUAUGGCUCAAGAGGAUGUGCAGUUUUCAGUCUGGGUUUCCUUCUUUGAGAUCUACAAUGAGCUGAUUUAUGACUUGCUGGAUUCAUCCACGCUCGGCCCAAAUCGCAAGAGACCUACACUGCGGCUAUGUGAGGACCAGACUGGCAACCCUUAUGUAAAAGACCUGAACUGGAUCAACAUUCAGGAUGCUGAGGAGGCCUGGAAGCUGCUGAAAGUGGGUCGGAGAAAUCAAAGCUUUGCCAGCACACACAUGAAUCACAACUCUAGCCGCAGUCAUAGCAUCUUCUCCAUCCGAAUUCUACAUCUUCAGGGAACGAGUGGUGAAAUGGUCCCAAAGAUCAGCGAACUUUCAUUAUGUGACCUUGCUGGCUCAGAGCGCUGCAAAGAGCAGAGGGAUGGGGAUCGCAUGAAAGAAGCCAAUAACAUCAACACAUCUCUGCAUGUACUGGGCCGUUGUCUCACAACGCUGCGCCAGAACCAGCAGUCCAGGCUAAAACAGAAUGUUGUGCCAUUUCGGGAGAGCAGACUAACUCGUGUGUUCCAAGGUUUUUUCACUGGGCGUGGACAAUCCUGUAUGAUUGUUAAUAUCAAUCCAUGUGCUUCUUCUUUUGAUGAGACCCUCCAUGUGGCAAAGUUCUCUGCCAUUGCCAGCCAGCUCAUACAAGUGCCAUCAAAAGUGGGCAUCCUGUCCAUCCGGUCUCUUAUCAAGGAACACGGCAUUCGAACCAGUAAGAUCCCUGCAGAAGCUUUGGAUGAAGAGACAGAACCUAAUGAGGGCAGCGAGGAUGAAACAGAUGUGACCACAUAUGAUAAAGAGGAUCUCUUGCGGGUGGUUGAAGCCGUGCAAGAACUGCUGCUGAAGGAACGUCAGGAUAAGCUUCAGCUGGAAAUGCGCCUUCGCCAUGAGAUCUGCAAUGAGAUGAUGGAGCACCUCCAACAGAGGGAACAGUGGAGCAGUGAUUAUGUGGAUGCUCAAAAGGACAUGCUGGAGGAGUUGUAUGAGGACAAGCUGAACAAUUUGAAGGAGUCGUUGACUGACUAUUAUCUGGAGCAGAUUGAGAAUCAGGAUGAAAAGAUCAAAGAGUUAGAAGCUGCCUUGGAAGAAUCAAAACGGCAGCACGAAUCUGAAGAGAGGAAGCAACCAGAAGCAGAGGACUCCCUGCGCAGGUCCAAGCGCGUGGCAUCAUGCCAUCAGCAGGAAUUGCUACAGACGAAAGCCAAGUUGGAGCAGUGCCAGGCAGAGCUAAGCACAGCAACUGAAGAGUUGCGUAAGUAUCGGAAAAUGUUGGAGCCCCCGCCUUCCGCAAAACCCAUCACGUCAGAUGUAGAUCGGAAACUAGAGGAAGGCCAAAAGAAUGUGAGGCUGCUGCGUUCAGAGCUGCAGAAGCUGGGGGAGUCGCUCCAAUCAGCUGAAAGAGCCUGUUGUCACAGCACAAGUGCGGGGAAACUCCGGGAGACCCUCUUCAAGUGUGACAACAUCUUGGUUAAGCAGGACCAGACCUUAGCUGAGCUUCAGAACAAUAUGAUGCUGGUGAAGAUAGAUCUACGGAAAAAAGCUGCCUGCAUUGCUGAGCAAUAUCAAACUGUUCAGAAGCUUCAAGCAACAGCUGCACCCCUGCCGCCACCCUCUUCCACCAAAAAACGUUUCUGUGCCAACAAUGAAAAUAUGCAACCCAAAAGUCAACCUCCGGUUAAGAAGCCUUUUUUGCACAAUUUUCUCACUCGCUCAACAGCCCGGUCUGGACUAACAGAGAGCCCCUAUAGUCGUAUCCUGCGUUCUCGAGGAUCUCCACCAUUUAAACCCCCCAUGCUCUUUGGCAAAAAACACUGAAUGUUUUGGGCUGCAGAGGGGUAGCCGGGCAUUAGCAACCAGAUGCUGCCUUUAAAAUAUAACAGAUAAGGUCUAGACAAAGUCAUACUUGGAAUAAGCUUAUUGGAAUAAUGACUAAAACCCUAUUUCUUUCCAUAGGCUUACUCAUUAGUGUGACUUAGUCUGGAUCCAGCCUAAUGUACGAGUGGUUUUUGUAUUUUAGUGUGUUGAGGCCUGUUCUUUACUGUAAAUUUUAGGGCCGUGAUUGUUUUAUUUCUUUGGACUACCAAUCCCAGAAAGGUCAAUUCUGGGAGCUCCACCAGACACCUAAAUCUAGCUCCGCUAGGAGGAAGGCCACACAUGGAAGACCUUGAGGCUUAGUUAGGCCUAGCUGUGUCUAGCUUCCUGUUUAGAAAGGAAGUUUGGACAGAGCUAGAACUAGCUAAGCCUCAAGGCCUUCCAGUUGUGACUUUUCUCCCACAUAAGUUAUAUUUAGGUGUCAGAAUGGAGAAUUGUGGGGUUUGCCACUUCUCGGCUUUUUGGCUAAGAUCAAGUGUAAUGUGUGUGUUGUCCAAGAAAUCAAACAAUCUUAACCCUAGUAAAUAUUUGGCUUCCCAAAGAUGGUUACUAUGCAUGCCUUUACUGUUUCAGGCCAGCUGCUACUCCAGUGUAUGUGUAUAGAAUCUUUAGAAUCUUUUGUCUUGUUUUUCAGACGUAUGUAUGUUGCUGCAUGCUAAAUAUAUAUGCAUUGUAUGUAUCAAACCCACAAUAAAUAUACUCUAUAUUUUCCAUUUCA